Molecule: long non-coding RNA, 264 nt
Organism: Cyprinodon tularosa
Lineage: Eukaryota; Metazoa; Chordata; Actinopteri; Cyprinodontiformes; Cyprinodontidae
Exons: 2
Source: RefSeq, a predicted model, not a curated record
UGAUUAGGUGGGAGGUGGCACUUACCUGGUUUGGUGUGCUGGCUUGCCGUUGGAUGUAGUGUUCCUAGUGAUGCGUAGAUAAACAGGAGCGUGCACGCACAGAGACAGAAUCCAAUUGCAUGGCUGGAAGAGCGACGCACAUCACCGGUUUAUAACCUGCUGUGUUUCAAGUGUGAAAUCAAGAAAGAAAAUAAACAACAUUUGGACACUGAGUUGUAACCAAGUCUCGCUCUUCUAGCGACCCUUUUCGGUGGGGAUAAAUUA